This 404-nucleotide ribosomal RNA is filed under the name uncultured bacterium. Its description in RNAcentral is "bacterial SSU rRNA". It matches the Rfam family "Bacterial small subunit ribosomal RNA", at positions 29 to 420 of the family's 1533-position model. The record is from RNAcentral.
AACGAACGCUGGCGGCGCGCUUAACACAUGCAAGUCUCAGGGGCUUGGGGGCAACUCCAAGUCACUGGCAGACGGGUGAGUAACACGUGAGCAACCAUCCUUCGAGUGUGGAAUAACCUGCCGAAAGGCGGGCUAAUACCGCAUAACACUCUCCUGACUUUGGUCGGGAAAUUUAAAGCCGGGGACCGCAAGGCCUGGCGCUUGAAGACGGGCUCGCGCCUGAUUAGCUAGUUGGCGGGGUAACGGCCCACCAAGGCAAUGAUCAGUAGCCGAUCUGAGAGGUAUGACCGGCCACACUGGCACUGAGACACGGGCCAGACUCCUACGGGAGGCAGCAGUGGGGAAUCUUGGGCAAUGGGCGAAAGCCUGACCCAGCGACGCCGCGUGAAGGAUGACGGUUUUCG